UACAAUUCUCAAGGAUAAGUUUUUCAAUUACGUAACAUGAAUAUAGAAACACUUGUUGGAGAAUCCCAUUUUUUUAUUGUACAGUCAUCCUUGAUAAACAGCACAUCCUAAACAAAUGGGCCUUAUUUCACAUUACAUUACUUGUUGGGCUUAUCUAAUUCAGGUCCUAGUGUAAUGUAGUGUAAAAGGCAAGAGAUAAGCCACAAACAAGAGGGAACUAGUGAAGACUCUGAUUUUGUCCUUGAAUUCUCCUUUCCUGAAAAAAGAGAAAAUCAAUCACGUGGACUACUAGUAGCAGCACAGAUUCUCUCUACUUAAGGAUCUAUAUUUAAUCACAUGAACACAUUUCUUGAAUGUUAUGAGUCACAGGCAGAGUUAGAGAGAGACAGAAGAACACAACUCACUGAGGUUGUUCUGGUCGUCUAAACCUGAUCUAUACUGAGUAUCAUAACAACUGAAUCAUAUAAUCUCAUGAAGUGGAAUUAUAUUGAGACAGGAAGGCUUAGUAGAAGUGAAAAGACUAUUGACCAUAUAUACAUAAAACAUUAUCCCCUAGUUUCAGCUCAGUUGGUAAGCUGCCAAACAAAGUACAUAUCCCCAAUAAGGUAACAAAACUCACUAGACUUAGCUACAGUAGAUUUGCAUUACACUUACAAGUUACAAGAAUGCCUUUUCGAAGUUCUAUUAGUGUUCACUUGAACUUACCUGAAGCUGAUUUUAUCUCUUUGUGUUUUGAGCAACAAAGUGUUUUUUCAACAGACGUUUGAAGAACUUUUGAGCUAAUUACAAAAGAAUACAAUCACAAAACACAAUUAUAUGCUGAGAGUAAUCAGAGAGGUACAAGCCACAUAAAUGAAGAGAGACAUAUGAGAGAGUUGUUUUGAACUUAGUAGUUAGCAAUUGUCUAGGUUUGCAAGUACCGGAGAUAGUUGGAAGGACUCGAACAAAAAGUAGAUGAAAGAUAUGUAGAUGAAGACUCCUCAUCCUCUCCAAACUCUCAACAAAAAGUAGAUGAAUUAUAUUAAAAAUUAAAAGUUAACAAUUAAUCAAAGAAUGGACUCUUCAAAAAAAAAAUAGAAAAUGGGCCCUAGGCCAAUGUUUAUUUUAUAUACCUAUAGGCACGGCCCUGCUUGCAUCGAAGUGUCAGCUGGAUGCCUUUUAUACUAUGGCUUGCAUGACUUGAAGUUGAACUAUGCAGCCUUGCAUUCCUUUCUUCCAAAGUUCAUAGAUUACUGCUUGGAAUAAGAGCUUGCAAAUGAUAUUGAGUUUGCAACUUGAUAAGGAAGCAAUACACCAUCGUAAAAUGUCCUCAAACAGAGAAGGAGGGCUGAUAGAUGAACGAGAGAAGAAGAAGAAAUCCCAGACUUCUUCUAAUUACUCACAUGCAAAGAGUAAAUAUUCCUUAUUCUUUCGGUCUCAGUUUCAAAAAAAAGAACAAGUCUCCGGGACAUUCACUCCCCAGCUCCUCAGCCUGCUUUUGGUUGUUAAAUAACCACGAACAACCAAGCAAAAGAUAAAAGCAUCUUUAAGGAUGUUGUGCUUGAACCAUACCACCGGUUUGUAAGUGACUAAAUUGGUUAUUAGGUGCAAGCUGCACCAAGCAAGAGCAGAGAAGAG
Molecule: long non-coding RNA, 1617 nt
Filed under: Eutrema salsugineum
Lineage: Eukaryota; Viridiplantae; Streptophyta; Magnoliopsida; Brassicales; Brassicaceae
Description: long non-coding RNA (ESAL_LNC001466)
Source: RNAcentral